This 1159-nucleotide ribosomal RNA is filed under the name uncultured bacterium. RNAcentral describes it as "bacterial SSU rRNA". It matches the Rfam family "Bacterial small subunit ribosomal RNA", at positions 216 to 1399 of the family's 1533-position model. The record is from RNAcentral.
CGCUUGAAGAUGAGCUUGCGUCUGAUUAGCUAGUUGGUGAGGUAACGGCCCACCAAGGCGACGAUUGGUAGCCGGACUGAGAGGUUGAACGGCCACAUUGGGACUGAGACACGGCCCAGACUCCUACGGGAGGCAGCAGUGGGGGAUAUUGCACAAUGGGGGAAACCCUGAUGCAGCGACGCCGCGUGGAGGAAGAAGGUUUUCGGAUUGUAAACUCCUGUCGUUAGGGACGAUAAUGACGGUACCUAACAAGAAAGCACCGGCUAACUACGUGCCAGCAGCCGCGGUAAAACGUAGGGUGCAAGCGUUGUCCGGAAUUACUGGGUGUAAAGGGAGCGCAGGCGGACCGGCAAGUUGGAAGUGAAAUCCAUGGGCUCAACCCGUGAAUUGCUUUCAAAACUGCUGGCCUUGAGUAGUGCAGAGGUAGGUGGAAUUCCCGGUGUAGCGGUGGAAUGCGUAGAUAUCGGGAGGAACACCAGUGGCGAAGGCGACCUACUGGGCACCAACUGACGCUGAGGCUCGAAAGCAUGGGUAGCAAACAGGAUUAGAUACCCUGGUAGUCCAUGCCGUAAACGAUGAUUACUAGGUGUUGGAGGAUUGACCCCUUCAGUGCCGCAGUUAACACAAUAAGUAAUCCACCUGGGGAGUACGACCGCAAGGUUGAAACUCAAAGGAAUUGACGGGGGCCCGCACAAGCAGUGGAGUAUGUGGUUUAAUUCGAAGCAACGCGAAGAACCUUACCAGGUCUUGACAUCCGAUGCAUAGUGCAGAGAUGCAUGAAGUCCUUCGGGACAUCGAGACAGGUGGUGCAUGGUUGUCGUCAGCUCGUGUCGUGAGAUGUUGGGUUAAGUCCCGCAACGAGCGCAACCCUUAUUGCCAGUUACUACGCAAGAGGACUCUGGCGAGACUGCCGUUGACAAAACGGAGGAAGGUGGGGAUGACGUCAAAUCAUCAUGCCCUUUAUGACCUGGGCUACACACGUACUACAAUGGCGUUUAACAAAGAGAAGCAAGACCGCGAGGUGGAGCAAAACUCAAAAACAACGUCUCAGUUCAGAUUGCAGGCUGCAACUCGCCUGCAUGAAGUCGGAAUUGCCAGUAAUCGCGGAUCAGCAUGCCGCGGUGAAUACGUUCCCGGGCCUUGCACACACCGCCCGUCA